This is a long non-coding RNA of Gallus gallus (chicken), 268 nucleotides long. RefSeq lists it as uncharacterized. The record is from RefSeq and is a predicted model, not a curated record. The transcript has 5 exons. NCBI's taxonomy places the organism in Eukaryota, Metazoa, Chordata, Aves, Galliformes, Phasianidae.
CGACGCUGGAAUCAGGCGCAGUGACAACGAGCGCAGACAUCCCGGAGGACAUCGCGGACAUCCAUGAUCUCCUGGCAUGGCUCAACGACGAAGUGACAUCCAAGACAGGCAAUCCUGUACGACACCGCAGACAUUGAUGACCUGCUCACGUGGAUCAACAACGAAGAGACACCCAGCACCGACAGACUUGACGACGACGUGGAAAUUGACAAUUUGCUCACCUGGAUUGACGAAGCGGCGAGUGCUCGGAGGUCCCACCAGCACAACC